Molecule: long non-coding RNA, 654 nt
Organism: Symphalangus syndactylus (siamang)
Lineage: Eukaryota; Metazoa; Chordata; Mammalia; Primates; Hylobatidae
Source: RefSeq, a predicted model, not a curated record
ACAUAGCCCUGAGGGAAAGUUGACACUGCUCUCUGGGAAUCAAUCUAGAUUCAUCCAAAGGAGUCAUGAUAAGCAUAAGAAUUCAGUCUCAAGCCGAGCAGUGCACAGGACUACCGGGAGACAGUUACUGGUCAGGGAUUCAAAUGUUUCUUAAGAAGAAGUCACAGACAUGUUGCCAUGAAGCUCAACCGCUUAUGUUGUGUUCUCAGGGGUUUUAUACACAACCCAGCCUCUGCCAUCCACAGCCCAGCAGCCCCACCAGAGCCUCCCCGUGCUCUGACCUCACAUCUGAAAUAACAGCUGGGUACUCAGGGAGUCUCAUGGGCCAUCCUGGAAGAUGAAUAAAGCUUGGUUUCUGUGUUUGGCCUUGGCGCUGCCAUAUGGGAUCUGAUGAUACAGUUAUUUAGCAAGAAACCACAGGAAUAAAAACAACGUGAUAAAACCCAGAGAAAGUGAGUCCUUCUUCUGUGGAUGGCAACUGAAUGCCACAGGCUGUGCAAUGCCCACCCCGAGCAAACCCGGAGGCCCUGGGUUUUGACUGAGCCCCGACAUCGAGGGCUGCAUGCUUCAGAUUCCUGCUCUGUAAACAGGGACUGUGGUUCCUGUGCCCACGGAAACAGAGCUUGUCAAAAAUAUUAAAGUGUGGAAAAUGUG